AUGGAUGAGGAUGAGGACAAGGACAAGGACAAGGACGAUGAGGAAUAUGAGGAGCAAAAUCUGUUUAUAGUCCCACCACAACCGAGUGCUGAUAUGUCGGAUGAUGAUACAUUAGAAGGGUAUAAGGAAUCAGCUGAUGAACUAGAAGGUGACACUAUGUCCGAGGAAUCACUUGUGCAUGUUGUAUCUAGUGAGGAGGAGGCAAGAGAAAGGAAAAAGAACAAGAGGCGAAGAGCCAAUGCUCCUGUUAGGAUGUCAUCGGAUGUUUGGGCCCAUUUUCACAAGGUCAAAGAGCCAUCGACGGAGCAUCCGGGAGAGAUUGUGUUGAAGGCUGUUUGUAAUUAUUGUCCCAAAAAGAGGUAUGCGUAUACGCAAGGUGGCAGCACCUCAACUAUUGGAAGGCAUAUCUUAAAAUGUGAAGGUUUAAGGAACAAGAUCGCUAGGAAUGCCAUCCAAACAACUCUUGAACUGCGCAAAAUCAAUGGUCCAACAAGUGCUCCAACAAUGCACCCCUCUAUUGAGUACAACCAAGGAAUCGUCAAGGAGCUUAUUGCUAAGAUGAUAUGUGUGCAUGAGUAUUCAUUUAGAAUGGUUGAACAUGAGUGGUUCAACAUUCUGAUGAAGUGCAUGAAUCCAAAUUAUAAACCCAUUGGAAGGAAGGCAAUACGAGCCGAGUGCAUGAGGGUUUACAAGAACGAAAAAGAGGUGCUGAAAUCUCUCCUAAAGGGUGUGAGCUCCAUAUGUCUAACUACAGAUUUGUGGACAAGCAACCAAACCUUAUCUUACAUGUGUGUGGUUGCACACUAUAUAGAUGAGAAUUGGAACUUACAAACCCGUGUGCUUGCUUUCAUAGAGUUGGAUCCUCCUCACUCUGGAAAUGUCAUUGCGGAUGCUCUCUAUGCGGUUGUGCUAGAAUGGAAUAUUGAGACCAAAAUUAUGUCCGUCACACUUGACAACGCUUCAAACAAUGAUGGUGCGGUCGAUGCUUUGAAGGCCAAGUUCUUGUUCCGGAGAGGUAAGGACUUCGAAGGCCAAUAUUUUCAUAUCCGUUGUUGUGCACACAUCCUCAACUUGGUCGUGCAAGAUGGGACAGCGAUCUUAGAUAAUUUGAUAAACAGCUUGAGAGAGACGGUGAAGUACUUCAAGAGGUCACCUUCUCGUCUCCAUGCUUUUGUUGCCACUUGCAAAAGCUUGGGUGUCAAAGUUGGUAAUCAUUUACACUUGGAUUGUAAAACAAGGUGGAGUUCAACCUUUAAGAUGAUUAGCACUGCCCGUGGAUAUAAGGAAGCCUUGACCUCUCAUGCUGGUUCAAAUGCCAACUAUGCUUGGGCGCCGACAAACGCAGAGUGGGACAUGUAUGACCUUAUCUCUCCAUUACUUGAGAGUUUGGCUGAGGUGACAAAAGCAUUUUCAGGAAGCUUAUAUCCCACUUCGAACAUCUUCUACCCAUACAUUGUUGGUAUCAAGCUUGCAAUCAAACAUGCAAUGGCUAGUGACAGUGACCACUACAAGGAAAUGGGUGAAGCAAUGUUGGAGAAGUUUGACAAAUAUUGGGAAGAAAAGAACAAUGCCAUGGUGAUCGCAACCAUCUUUGAUCCUAGGUACAAGAUGGGUUACAUAGAGUGGGCCUUUGGAGAACUAUAUGGAGAAGGAAGUACAAGGUUUAGGACUGAGAUCAAAACUGUGGAGAAAGAGUUGGCAGCCUUGUAUGACAAAUGUGUUGCUCAAAAUAAGCAAGCUGGAAAUGGAGAAAGCUCAUCUUCCUCUACAAACAUUCCUAGUAUCCCGGUUCAAGCUGGGUACGAGGCCUUCUUAUCGUCCCGUUCAACAAGAAUAUCAAAGAGUGAGUUGAGGAACUACUUAGAGGAUGCGGUUGCCCCUCGCGACAAGGCUCUUGAUCUUCUUGGUUGGUGGAAAGAGAAUGCUCCAAGGUACCCAAUGUUGGCCAAGAUAGCCAAGAGGUUCAUUACUAUCCCGGCUACCUCCGUGUCUUCGGAAUCUACCUUCAGCACGACCGGAAGGAUUUUAGAUGACUAUAGGAGUUCGUUAAAACCGGUUAUGGUGGAGGCAUUAGUUUGUGGUGCAAGUUAUAUCAAGGGUGCUCAUGUUGACUUGAAUCUGGUGCCGAGGGAUGAGAAUGAAGAGGAUGAUGUUGAGAACAUCAAGUUACCCACUAUGGUGGAGGAGAUCAACGAUUGA
This 2199-nucleotide ribosomal RNA is filed under the name Triticum aestivum (bread wheat). RNAcentral's name for it is "partial small subunit ribosomal RNA". The record is from RNAcentral. Lineage: Eukaryota; Viridiplantae; Streptophyta; Magnoliopsida; Poales; Poaceae.